AUAAUAAUUUAAUUUUUUUUUAUUGUCUUAUUAGUAUAUAUAUAAUUAAUUUAUUUUCAUUUUUUCUGUCUAAGUUUUAUUAAAUGAUUAUUUUAAUGGUAGUUAAUUUUUAAUGUAAGUGAAUAUUUAAAAUAUUUGUUAAGGAUUUUUAUUUUAUUUUACCUUUUGUAUCAGGGUUAAUUAAAUAAUUUUUUUUUAUUAAAUUUUCUCGAAUUAUAAAGAUUUACUUUAUUAUGAUUUUUGUUGUUUCAUAAUCAUGUUAAAUAUUAAGGUAGUAGAGAAACUCUAUUCGUUUUGUAAUAUAUCUAGUUUCCUAAGAUUAAAUUAAAUUUGAUUGAGGUUUUUAUUAUAAUAAUUUGAUGUUAUAUUAUUAAUUUCUUUUUAUAAUUUAGGGGUUAAGCUCUAAAUUUUACUAUAAUUUUUAUUUUGUUCAUUAAAUAUUUAUAGGCUUGGAAUUAGCCAUUAUUUAAAGUGUGUUUUAUUUUAUAUUAUUUGUUUAAUUAUUUAUUAUUUUAUUUAGUUUUAAUAUUAGGAUAUUAACUUUUAUUAUUGUUGUUAAUUAAUAAUGAUUAAAUUAGUAUAUUUUUUUUUGUUUGUUUAAUAAUUAAAUUAAAUUUAUUAAAAGGAACUUGGCAAUUUUUUAAUAUUUUCGCCUGUUUAUCAAAAACAUCUUUUGUAGUUAUUUAUUAUAAAUAUAACCUGCUCACUGAUUAUUUAAAGAGCUGCAGUAUUUUGACUGUACAAAGGUAGCAUAAUCAUUAGUAUAUUAAUUGUAUACUGGAAUGAAAGGUUGGACGAGAAAUAUACUGUCUCUUAAUAAUAUAUAUAAUUUUACUUUCUAGUAAAAAGGCUGGAAUUUUAUUUUUGGACGAUAAGACCCUAUAGAACUUUAAUUGUUAUAAUUAAAUAAUUUGGGUUAUUUUUAUUUAUUUUAAUUAAAUUAAUUUUAAUUGGGGCGAUUUGAAUAAUAGUUAAACUAUUCAUUAUUUUUUUUUCAUUGAUUUAUGUACUUUUUGAUCCUUUAUUAUGGAUUUAAAGAUCAAGUUACCUUAGGGAUAACAGCGCAAUUAUCUUUGAGAGUUCUUAUUGACAAGAUAGAUUGUGACCUCGAUGUUGGAUUAAGAUUAUUAUUUGGGUGUAGGGGCUCAAUUAAUUGGUCUGUUCGACCAUUAAAAUCUUACAUGAUCUGAGUUCAAACCGGUGUGAGCCAGGUUGGUUUCUAUCCAAAAUUUUUUUAUAUUUUCUAGUACGAAAGGACCGUUAAUUUUAAAUAUUUUAUUUUCGUUUGUUUAUUAUU
This 1297-nucleotide ribosomal RNA is filed under the name Criotettix japonicus. Its description in RNAcentral is "16S ribosomal RNA". The stretch from base 862 to 1229 matches the Rfam family "Archaeal large subunit ribosomal RNA", at positions 2150 to 2716 of the family's 2987-position model. The record is from RNAcentral. Lineage: Eukaryota; Metazoa; Arthropoda; Insecta; Orthoptera; Tetrigidae.